This 250-nucleotide ribosomal RNA is filed under the name Polycera atra. Its description in RNAcentral is "partial 16S ribosomal RNA". The record is from RNAcentral. Lineage: Eukaryota; Metazoa; Mollusca; Gastropoda; Nudibranchia; Polyceridae.
UAAAGACGAGAAGACCCUUAGAGUUUUUCUAAAAUUGAGAUGUUUACUUCUCAUAACAGUUUAGUUGGGGCAACAUAGGAGCAAUUUAUUUAAAUCUCCUGAAAAUAACUUAUCGAUUAUUUUAGUAUUGAAUAAACUACCUUAGGGAUAACAGCAUAAUUUUACUAUUAAGUUUGUGACCUCGAUGUUGGACUGGGAAACUUAAAGGUUAGCCACCUUUAAGGUGAGUUCUGUUCGAACUAUUAUUCCC